AUUAGAAACACAGUAUCAAAGGCUGGCUUGAUUUGUUGGAUUCAAACCCAUAAACUACAAAUAGGCAGGCAGAUGAGUCACAGUCAGAUCUCGCAAGAACCAGCACAGGCGUGGACUGUCAGUGUGGACGGGGAGGACGGCGAAGCAGAAGAUUUAUGCAGUGGAGGAAACCAAGAAGUCUGUUCUGGUGGAUGGAGGGAAGAAAACCCUGUUAAGGUUUCCCAGAGACUAUGGGUUGAGGAGGAAGUGGAAGUUUGUCAGCUUAGACCUGGUGUCAUUCCAUCAGUGUUUAACUUCCCGGCUCAUCUUGGAAGAGUAUGUGCCAGAAAGACCACAAACAAGCAGCCUUGAGAUGUUAGACAGCGUCUCCCUGAGACUAAAGAACUACAGACUCUUCACAACCUGCUCAAACUCUUGGUACAGGACCUCACCACACGGGUCAAGAAGGUUUCUGUCUCAUUUCUACUCUGAAGCUCACCUUCUCCUGCUCAAACUGCUGACAAAUGUUUCUGCUGCUCUAAAGUCUGGUCUCCAGAACUUCCUAAAAACUCUCAAAGUCUCUUCUGCUGCAGGUUGCUUUGUAGAACUGUUCCAGAAAACCUCACUAAACCACACGGAGGGGCCUCAAGAUAGUCGUCC
Molecule: long non-coding RNA, 639 nt
Organism: Amphiprion ocellaris (clown anemonefish)
Lineage: Eukaryota; Metazoa; Chordata; Actinopteri; Pomacentridae
Source: Ensembl